Molecule: ribosomal RNA, 252 nt
Filed under: uncultured microorganism
Description: partial 16S ribosomal RNA
Rfam family: Bacterial small subunit ribosomal RNA
Source: RNAcentral
UACGUAGGUCCCGAGCGUUGUCCGGAUUUAUUGGGCGUAAAGCGAGCGCAGGUGGUUUAAUAAGUCUGAUGUAAAAGGCAGUGGCUCAACCAUUGUGUGCAUUGGAAACUGUUAGACUUGAGUGCAGUAGAGGAGAGUGGAAUUCCACGUGUAGCGGUGAAAUGCGUAGAUAUGUGGAGGAACACCAGUGGCGAAGGCGACUCUCUGGACUGUAACUGACACUGAGGCUCGAAAGCGUGGGUAGCAAACAGG